CUGCGAGUUCGCGGGAGAGUAAGUUAUUGCCAGGGUUUUUAUUUUAUACUUUAAACAUUGAUUUUAUUUUUUAUGUUUUUAGAUGUUCAUGUUUUUGAAUGUUUUAUUUAAAUAAUAUAAAAAAUAAAAUAUAUAUUGACAUGGAUUAAACAAAGAUAUAUAUUAUUCUAUGUUGCAUAAGCAAAUUGGCAAAAUAGAGAUGGAAGAUAAAAAUAUGGCCAAGGGUAG
This 228-nucleotide unclassified non-coding RNA is filed under the name Borreliella garinii. RNAcentral describes it as "partial 5S-23S ribosomal RNA intergenic spacer". The record is from RNAcentral. Lineage: Bacteria; Pseudomonadati; Spirochaetota; Spirochaetia; Spirochaetales; Borreliaceae.